GCCAAAAAUAAAGCCAUGUUGAAAUCAUAAAACCAUGCCAGUAGCAGAAGGCUUCUAAACAGCAUUAAAAAGUAGCUUUUGAGGCCGGAGCAGGCAUGAAAAACAACAGAUUCUUUUCCCGUGCUGAUGCAGCCUGUGAUGGUCUCCAGCAUCCCAGAAUUUACCAUCUUGUACAGAAGUAAACGUGUUUUAGGAUCCACUGCUUUCUCCUACAAGAGAUGAAUAGGAUUAAUAGGCAAGAUGUGAAUACUCAAUUCAAUAAAGCAAUUCUUUGCUUUA
Vidua chalybeata is the source of this 279-nucleotide long non-coding RNA. RefSeq lists it as uncharacterized. The transcript has 2 exons. The record is from RefSeq and is a predicted model, not a curated record. Lineage: Eukaryota; Metazoa; Chordata; Aves; Passeriformes; Viduidae.